RNAcentral lists this long non-coding RNA (487 nucleotides) under Ananas comosus (pineapple). RNAcentral's name for it is "long non-coding RNA (ACOM_LNC010446)". The record is from RNAcentral. Lineage: Eukaryota; Viridiplantae; Streptophyta; Magnoliopsida; Poales; Bromeliaceae.
AAAAAUCAUACCAACACGAAUACUAAUAAAGAUAUAUAGAGACAUUUGCACACCUUUUCUCACUCCUUCUUUUAGGGGCUAUUUGGUUAGAUGUAAUUAUAAAUGCAGUGUAGUUAGAGAUGUAUGUAGUUGGAAAUACAGUAGUUACAACUACAUGAAUUCUGUUUGGUUGGAUGUAGUAGAAAACAUUACAAGUAUAAAUAAUUGGUUUGGUUGCAUGCAGUUGAAAAAUAAUUUUUAAAAUUUUAUCAUUUUAUAUAUAUGAUGGUGAGAUUACCUCCAAUGUAAAAAAGAAAAAUAAUUUUUAUUUAAACAAUAUUGAGAAGGUAAGCAUACCUUUUAUUUAAAGUUACUAUUUUCAAUUGUUGCAGUUGGAACUGCAGCCAAUUUGGGUGUAGUUUGAACUGCUGCAGUUGGGCCUCCUCUUGCAGUUCCUACUGCAGCAGUUGGAGUUAAAUACAUCAAACCAAACACUGAAUUUAUAUUU